Salvelinus fontinalis (brook trout) is the source of this 578-nucleotide long non-coding RNA. RefSeq lists it as uncharacterized. The transcript is spliced from 3 exons. NCBI's taxonomy places the organism in Eukaryota, Metazoa, Chordata, Actinopteri, Salmoniformes, Salmonidae. The record is from RefSeq and is a predicted model, not a curated record.
UGGUGGCACAAUAUGCACUGUAGGCCUAUCUCAGGCCCAGAUACUAAUUUGACCUUGUCCCUGACCUAAACAGUAAGGAACAAUAUUAGUCUUCAAACCAACUGGUUCGCUAUCAGAGCAUCUGCACUCCUUUUUUAAACAACGCGUUAGGGACUUUUCUGCCCCUUUUCUGGAAUAGAAACCCUGUGCUGCAAUAUCUUCAUUAAACUGUGACAUGUUAUGUUUCUAUGCAGCAUUGAUGCAUCUGAAGAAGACUCCUCCCUUGGGAGACUCGUUAAUGAUGAUCACUAAAGACUCAAUCUCAAAAUGAAGGCCAUACAAGCAAACGAUGAGCCACACUUGUGCCUCUUCGCGACUCGAGAUAUUGCAGCUGGCGAAGAGUUGACUUAUAGUUACGGUGAUUCAGACUGGCCAUGGAGAACACAGGUCAUCAAAACUGAAUUGUCGUCCAGCCCAAAACCUGCUCAUUGACGCGUUGCAGAAUGACAACUCCCAACCCUUUCAGAACAGCAGGGACACGGAUGGAUCAGAUUCCAACUUGAAAGAAGAUGCGGAGACCGUGCCUGUGUCUUCCAGCC